UAGGGAAUAUUGGGCAAUGGAUGCAAGUCUGACCCAGCCAUGCCGCGUGCCGGAUGAAGGCCCUCUGGGUUGUAAACUGCUUUUAUUCGGGAAUAAACCACAUUACGUGUAGUGUGCUGAAUGUACCGAAUGAAUAAGCACCGGCUAACUCCGUGCCAGCAGCCGCGGUAAUACGGAGGGUGCGAGCGUUGUCCGGAUUUAUUGGGUUUAAAGGGUGCGUAGGUGGCUUUUUAAGUCAGUGGUGAAAUACAGCCGCUCAACGGUUGAGGUGCCAUUGAUACUGAAGAGCUUGAAACAAGUGGAGGCUGCCGGAAUGGAUGGUGUAGCGGUGAAAUGCAUAGAUAUCAUCCAGAACACCGAUUGCGAAGGCAGGUGGCUACGUCUGAUUUGACACUGAGGCACGAAAGCAUGGGGAGCAAACA
RNAcentral lists this ribosomal RNA (422 nucleotides) under uncultured bacterium. RNAcentral describes it as "bacterial SSU rRNA". It matches the Rfam family "Bacterial small subunit ribosomal RNA", at positions 355 to 774 of the family's 1533-position model. The record is from RNAcentral.